GAGGAAUAUUGGUCAAUGGACGGAAGUCUGAACCAGCCAAGUAGCGUGCAGGAUGACGGCCCUAUGGGUUGUAAACUGCUUUUGUAUGGGGAUAAAGUUAGGGACGUGUCCCUAUUUGCAGGUACCAUACGGAUAAGGACCGGCUAAUUCCGUGCCAGCAGCCGCGGUAAUACGGAAGGUCCAGGCGUUAUCCGGAUUUAUUGGGUUUAAAGGGAGCGUAGGCUGGAGAUUAAGUGUGUUGUGAAAUGUAGACGCUCAACGUCUGAAUUGCAGCGCAUACUGGUUUCCUUGAGUACGCACAACGUUGGCGGAAUUCGUCGUGUAGCGGUGAAAUGCUUAGAUAUGACGAAGAACUCCGAUUGCGAAGGCAGCUGACGGGAGCGCAACUGACGCUUAAGCUCGAAGGUGCGGGUAUCAAACAGGAUUAGAUACCCUGGUAGUCCGCACAGUAAACGAUGGAUGCCCGCUGUUGGUACCUAGUAUCAGCGGCUAAGCGAAAGCAUUAAGCAUCCCACCUGGGGAGUACGCCGGCAACGGUG
This 539-nucleotide ribosomal RNA is filed under the name uncultured bacterium. Its description in RNAcentral is "bacterial SSU rRNA". It matches the Rfam family "Bacterial small subunit ribosomal RNA", at positions 356 to 896 of the family's 1533-position model. The record is from RNAcentral.